AAAAAAUAAAAUUAUUUUUUCUCUCGUUUUCUUUUGUUUUUCUCUUCUUCUAUAAAUAUUUUAACAUAUAUAUUAGUAAGAUUCUUAAUUAAUAAUUGCCAUGAAAGGAGAAAACGAAGUUGCUCGCUACUGUUUCAGCACCCAACGAGUUCCCGAUUGUAGAUUUCAUGGUAGAGACGUAGGAGAAACAUGAGUUUUUAGAAACCACAGCUUAUUAGUCACAUGUAAAUAUGAACAUUUAGAAUUUCUUCACUCUCUCAAUGUUAAAAUUUAAUAUAAAAACAGUUCCAGGGGAACUCUAAUAUCUACAUAAUAUGCAAAAAGGCCUUGAAAUUGAGGGGAUAUCUCCUUACAUAUUCCAGCUUGGGCAACCAAACCAUAUGCCGCUUCUCUCUUACUUCGUUUGGUGCAGAAUUUUAUAGUAGAGAUGUAGGUGAUCUAAGUGUGGGAGACGAACAACAAAGUUUUCAUCUCCACGUGUUCAAGGAGUAGUGUUAAGGGCCUUGAGAUUCUAAAAUAACUGGUUGCUCUCAACACUGGCAACAUAUAUACUAUCAAAAUUUUUCUUAUUUUCUUUUUGGGUAAGAAGAUGUUAUUACAUAUUCAUUAGCAUCAAAGUAUAGCAAGUCACGAAACUGUAAAGUUUCACUCGAGAAAAUUUUCAAAUUAUUAAAUUAAUAUUGUGACACCUCGAAUACAAUACCAAGGUCCGAACACGACCGCACACUUUUUAGGGUAGAGCUCUAGAGAAUAUUAUAUUAUAGGCGUGAAAAUUUAUCACAACCUUACUAUCCGUAAACCAAAACGAUUUCAUUUCAUAACAAAUAACAAAACUGGUCCAAUUAUAAAAUUUAUUCAUCUAAUCAUUUUAUUUUAUCCAUUCAUCCCUUUCUAAUAUGAUCCCAACUAUAGCCAAGCAAUCAUAGCCAAGUAUUAAGCCACAUACAGCCUGCAACUCUAAAAAAAAAAAAAAGGAAGGUUGUGAGUUUUACAGCCCAGUAAGAAUUGCGAAUUGCUACACCAUAAGUAAUAAAAAAAUAAUCAAUUAGCAAUACUAGAUAAAAUAAAUAUUGUAUCAAUACUCGAAAAGCUGGUACAAAUAAUAUGUACAUAACUUCUUAUUAUCAUCUUUUCAAAAAAAGCAUAUACAUACAUAUAUACACACACACACACACCCAUGUAUACAUAUAUACAUAUAUACACAUGUAUACAUAUAUACACACACAUGUAUAUAUAUAUAUUUUAAAUAUAACCAAUUGUUCAACAACAGUUUCUUAUGUCAUGUCAUCUGUUUCUCAUUAACUUGAUUUUCAUGUUCUUAUCAAUUAUUUUCCAGCUAUGGACUAACCAAGAUCAUAACCCAGUCCAAGACUGACAAAAUCUAUGCAUAAGCUCGUAGAGGCUAUCCUGUGCAUAAGCUCGUAGAGGCUAUUAUAUAUAUAAGCUCGUGGAGGCUAUCCCAUGCGUAAGCCCGUGGAGGCUAUCCCAUGCAUAAGCUCAUGGAGGCUAUCCUAUACAUAAGCCCAUAGACACUAUCCCAUGCGUAAGCCCGUCAAGGCUGUCCCAUGAUGAGGUUAAUCCAAACUAUAACUCGCCAGUCAGAUUUACAUGUUACUCUUAUCAAAUCGAUUUCUACUUAUAUAAUAAGUUUCUCUCAAAUUCAACGUAUCUUUGUUCACAUAUUUAUGUUUUAAAUAUAUAAUACGUAUAAUAACUAUACGAAUAUAUUUGUACUGAAAAUUAUAUAAAACAUGCCAUCACAUGCCAAGCCAAAUU
This 1776-nucleotide long non-coding RNA is filed under the name Phoenix dactylifera (date palm). RNAcentral's name for it is "long non-coding RNA (PDAC_LNC013582)". Lineage: Eukaryota; Viridiplantae; Streptophyta; Magnoliopsida; Arecales; Arecaceae. The record is from RNAcentral.